CCGCACAUGCGUCCAUGUUUUCUACCCCCCGCAAGGCUGCUUGAGAUGCUCGCUGCUGCAAGCAACCAUGGUUGGAUUCUUCUGCUUGGGCGGAGGCCAUGGGCGGAUUCGACCUGUCCAUGGACGGAUUCAUCUGCUUGGGUGGAGGGGAUUCUUUUGCGCCAUGGGCGAGCUGCUAGCGGCGUCAACGGGGACAACGGCGACGGACGGUGACUGCGGGGAGGAUAGUUUUGGGCGGCGACGGCGAUGGCCGCCAGGAUUUUUUGCUGCAUAUAAUUUUUGCUGGAACCAGCAUUUGACUUUGCUACAACCGACGAGGAUGGCGCUGGGACAGCGGUGGCCGGCAUGAAAUUUUUUUUUUUGCUGCAUUGAUAUUUCAAUUUUGCUGGAAACCUUUUCAAUUUUUCUGGAACCGUAUCAAAAAUUUGUUGAAACCAUGUUUAGUUUUUGCUGGAUCAAAACAUUGUUUACUGGAAACAAUUUUUAGUUUUUGCUGGAACCAUAUCACUUUUCUGCUGGAACCAUAUCGCUUUUCUGCUGGAACCAUAUCGCUUUUCUGCUGGAACCAUAUUGUUUUUUGCUGGAACCAUGUUUUUUUUUGUUUCAAACCGGUGACAUCCUGCUCUCGGUGUUUUUUUUGCUGGAACCACCUGUCUGUUUUGCUGGAAUCGGUGUCGAAGGGUGCUGGGACCUGUGUUGUGCUUGUUUGCUGGAACCAGCGGAUCCAAUUGCUGGAGUCGGUGAAGCAUUUUGCUGCAACGGCAAAAUCGAUGGUGCCGGACUGCAGCGUUCGUUUUUGCUGGAACGAAGCCAUCAACGACGAGGCGGCGAGCGAGACUCCGGCAGCUGCGCGGGUGGGGGCAGGGAUGCGAUGGAUUUUGGCGAUCUGGGCUGCAUCCUCUUUUUUAUUCUUUUUUCUCCCGUGCGUGUUCGGAUGCGAGAUGUAGGGGACAAAACGCUCCUGAUCUGACGGUUGGCAGUUAGCGCAGCGGACGCACGGGAUGCGACCGGCCGAAACUUUCGGCCGGCGCACAGGCGCCUAUAAGCGCCCAAAAGAAAAGUAAACCAGUUCAGGGAACCUACCAAAAGGUUCCCAAAACUGGAUGAUGUUGUACGCGAACUGCGUACGCAAAAUAGUCCAGCCAUCGCGUCGCUCGCUCGCUUUGCCUGGGCAGUUUGACUUAACACGCGGGAUCCGGUUUGUUCGUGAAUAAUGUGUGGGGCAGUAACGUGAUGGGGGGCACCCCUAUUUCUCGCUUUAAGCGAGCAAAGGGGACAGCCUCGCGUCGGGAGGAACCCAGCUUGGCCGGCCCACGCGCAAGCGAGGCUACAGCCUGUUUUUCUGUUUUUUUUACGUUUUCUGGUUUCGUUUUUUGUUUUAUUUUGUAAUUUUGCUUAUAAUUUAAAAUAUUUUAAAUAUACUAGCAAAAAGGCCCGUGUGUUGCAACGGAAGAAAAAAAAUACAACACGCUCUUAAUUUAGAAAAAAUGUUUUAUAAUCUGAGAAUUUGUAGCUAUUUCUUAAAUACAUGAAGAGUUAAAAAGGUUGUUAAAAAGAUACAUGAUUUUUAAUCAUAAAAGGAGGUUUUUUUCUGGAAAAGAACAUUUUUUUAUGGUCUCCUGUUGACGCAGGUACUUGCGCCCUUACUUCAUCACUAUUUCUUGCCAUACAUACGUAUUGGUCCCUGUUUCAUCACUAUUUAUUUCUUAUCAAACUUGUCUUUUAUCUUAUUUUUUGUCAUGCAUGCCUCCUUACUUUUUUUCAUGCAUUUCCUCUUUUUCUUCUUCUUAUAUAUAGGAGAAUAGUGCAACAUCUCAUCUUUACCGGAUCUCCUCUGCAUUUUCUGUUUUAUUUAUUUUGUAGCGGACAUCCUAUUUUUACUGGGUCCUUUUAUUUCU
Long non-coding RNA from Aegilops tauschii subsp. strangulata, 1898 nucleotides. RefSeq lists it as uncharacterized. The record is from RefSeq and is a predicted model, not a curated record. NCBI's taxonomy places the organism in Eukaryota, Viridiplantae, Streptophyta, Magnoliopsida, Poales, Poaceae.